This 228-nucleotide unclassified non-coding RNA is filed under the name Hevea brasiliensis (rubber tree). The record is from RNAcentral. Lineage: Eukaryota; Viridiplantae; Streptophyta; Magnoliopsida; Malpighiales; Euphorbiaceae.
GAAAUCUUAUGUCUCAGAAGUUCUUGUAGUUUUUACUGGUAUUUUGUAUUUUGUGGCAUAAGUUAAUAGGUCGUUACAAGGUGACAGUCCGCUAGUUUUUAUUGUGGAUUGCAAAAUCUAGGGAGUUUUGAAUUGCUAAAUCUGUAAAAGCUAUAAUUUUUUUGGUUAGUUCUUAAGAAUGACAUUACCAAAUGUAAUCUAACACGAGUUAUUCUUUUUUUUUUUUUU